UACGAAGGGGGCGAGCGUUGUUCGGAUUUACUGGGCGUAAAGGGCGCGCAGGCGGCGCAUUUUGUCAGGCGUGAAAGCCCCGGGCUUAACCUGGGAACUGCGUUUGAUACGGAUGGGCUAGAGUUCGGGAGAGGAGAGUGGAAUUCCCAGUGUAGAGGUGAAAUUCGUAGAUAUUGGGUGGAACACCGGUGGCGAAGGCGGCUCACUGGUCCGGUUCUGACACUGAGACGCGAAGGCGUGGGGAGCGAACGGG
This 253-nucleotide ribosomal RNA is filed under the name uncultured bacterium. RNAcentral's name for it is "partial 16S ribosomal RNA". It matches the Rfam family "Bacterial small subunit ribosomal RNA", at positions 524 to 776 of the family's 1533-position model. The record is from RNAcentral.